RNAcentral lists this ribosomal RNA (253 nucleotides) under uncultured bacterium. RNAcentral describes it as "partial 16S ribosomal RNA". It matches the Rfam family "Bacterial small subunit ribosomal RNA", at positions 524 to 776 of the family's 1533-position model. The record is from RNAcentral.
UACGAAGGGAGCUAGCGUUGUUCGGGAUCACUGGGCGUAAAGCGCACGUAGGCGGAUUGCUAAGUCAGGGGUGAAAUCCCGGGGCUCAACCUCGGAACUGCCUUUGAUACUGGCGGUCUAGAGUCCGGAAGAGGUGGGUGGAAUUCCUAGUGUAGAGGUGAAAUUCGUAGAUAUUAGGAAGAACACCAGUGGCGAAGGCGGCUCACUGGUCCGGUACUGACGCUGAGGUGCGAAAGCGUGGGGAGCAAACAGG